GACGAACGCUGGCGGCGUGCUUAACACAUGCAAGUCGAACGGAAAGGCCCUGCUUUUGUGGGGUGCUCGAGUGGCGAAAGGGUGAGUAACACGUGAGUAACCUGCCCUUGACUUUGGGAUAACUUCAGGAAACUUGGGCUAAUACCGGAUAGGAGCUCCUGCUGCAUGGUGGGGGUUGGAAAGUUUCGGCGGUUGGGGAUGGACUCGCGGCUUAUCAGCUUGUUGGUGGGGUAGUGGCUUACCAAGGCUUUGACGGGUAGCCUGCCUGAGAGGGUGACCGGCCAAAUUGGGACUGAGAUACGGCCAAGACUCCUACGGGAGGCAGCAGUGGGGAAUAUUGCACAAUGGGCGGAAGCCUGAUGCAGCAACGCCGCGUGCGGGAUGACGGCCUUCGGGUUGUAAACCGCUUUCGCAUGUGACGAAGCGUGAGUGACGGUAAUGGGUAAAGAAGCACCGGCUAACUACGUG
RNAcentral lists this ribosomal RNA (468 nucleotides) under uncultured bacterium. RNAcentral's name for it is "partial 16S ribosomal RNA". It matches the Rfam family "Bacterial small subunit ribosomal RNA", at positions 28 to 507 of the family's 1533-position model. The record is from RNAcentral.